CUUGGUCAUUUAGAGGAAGUAAAAGUCGUAACAAGGUCUCCGUUGGUGAACCAGCGGAGGGAUCAUUACCGAGUUAUUACUCCAAACCCUUUGUGAACCUUACCAUUUUGUUGCUCGGCGCACCGCGGGCCGCGGCUUCGGCCCGUCCCGCAGCGCGCCAGAGGACCCAACUCUUCAAUUUAUAGCGUACCUUCUGAUUUACAAAACAAACAAGUUAAAACUUUCAACAACGGAUCUCUUGGUUCUGGCAUCGAUGAAGAACGCAGCGAAAUGCGAUAAGUAAUGUGAAUUGCAGAAUUCAGUGAAUCAUCGAAUCUUUGAACGCACAUUGCGCCCGGCAGUAAUCUGCCGGGCAUGCCUGUCCGAGCGUCAUUUCACCCCUCGAGCCGCUUUUAGUGGACCGGUGUUGGGGCACUACGGUAAAACGUAGGCCCCGAAAUGAAGUGGCGGUCCCGCCGCGGUGCCCCCAUGCGUAGUAACGUUUAGUCUCGCAUCGGGUCCCGGCGGAGGCCUGCCGUCAAGCCUAUUUAUUCUCAGAAUAGUUUGACCUCGGAUCAGGUAGGGUUACCCGCUGAACUUAAGCAUAUCAAUAAGCGGAGGA
RNAcentral lists this ribosomal RNA (601 nucleotides) under uncultured fungus. Its description in RNAcentral is "eukaryotic LSU rRNA". The stretch from base 219 to 372 matches the Rfam family "5.8S ribosomal RNA". Lineage: Eukaryota; Fungi. The record is from RNAcentral.